This 332-nucleotide ribosomal RNA is filed under the name uncultured bacterium. Its description in RNAcentral is "bacterial SSU rRNA". It matches the Rfam family "Bacterial small subunit ribosomal RNA", at positions 568 to 898 of the family's 1533-position model. The record is from RNAcentral.
CGUGUAGGCGGCUUGACAAGUCAGAUGUGAAAUCCCUGGGCUUAACCCAGGAAGUGCAUUUGAAACUGUCUGGCUAGAGUAAGGGAGAGGAAAGUGGAAUUCCUGGUGUAGAGGUGAAAUUCGUAGAUAUCAGGAGGAACACCGGUGGCGAAGGCGACUUUCUGGCCCUAUACUGACGCUGAGACGCGAAAGCGUGGGUAGCAAACAGGAUUAGAUACCCUGGUAGUCCACGCUGUAAACAAUGUUCACUAGGUGUUGGGGGUAUUGACCCUUUCAGUGCCGCAGCUAACGCAUUAAGUGAACCGCCUGGGGAGUACGGUCGCAAGAUUAAA